RNAcentral lists this unclassified non-coding RNA (1363 nucleotides) under Leishmania donovani. Its description in RNAcentral is "gene:unknown". Lineage: Eukaryota; Euglenozoa; Kinetoplastea; Trypanosomatida; Trypanosomatidae. The record is from RNAcentral.
AGCAUGAGAUGAGCCGCUACUGUAUCCCCCAGCCAGACACAGGGCCACCUUGCGUGGUGCACAGUAAACCGAGACACGCACGUUGCAGCAGUGCGCCGACUCAGUCACCGGGGCACUCCCCUGUCUGGAACUCUACCCGCCCGGCACCUCGCAGGUCGCCACCCAGCCGCUUCUAUUGUGCCGGUUGCCAUCUGGCGCACUCUUCGGGGUAACUCGGGCACACACCUCAGCAGUUCGCAUCGAGGGCCGUGUGAGGUGCGUUCGAGUCACUUUGGCACACCCUGCCCAUCGUGAGGAUGGCACGAGUGUGCCCACUGUCGCAGGUCGCCCUGAAGCCACUCCAUCCAGGGCCUGGCCGCUGAUAUCAGUAGCGAUACAUUAUUUUGACCCUGCCAACGUCGUAGGCACUUGACCCUGCCACCGGCAGAGGUGGUUCGGCAUUCGAAGGUAUAGAGGGGGGCUGCUUGGCUUCCGCCCACGUACAGAGUUGGGGGGGGGGGCUGCACUGGACCCUGACGAUACCAUGCGCAUUGAGGUGUCCCCUUGCCAUGGAGGAUGAGGACGGUAGGAUGGGAGGGCAUAAAGACAUACUCCUCACAUCACAGGUGCGUGAAGUGGGGGUGUGGGAGGAGGCUGUUGCGUUCCUGUUCUGUUCUCCUGCCCCCCCCCCCUGUAGCCCACCGCAAGGUGGCAAAAGGCUCGCCCUGUUGUUCCCUGCCGUUGUUCUCUCCACGUGUUUGACGUGCACAUCACACCCCUGGCCGCCUCGGAUGGGAGGCGGCCCUCUAGCCUGCCGUCUCGUGCGCAUGCCUCACCAAAAGUAGAACAAAAGGGAUGCUUGUAUGGCGCCCAACGGCCAAGGGGGGAGGGCGGUGGAGCUGCCCGAUAGGAGCGUCGCACAUCAUUUCGAAGCCCGGGCAGAUGCGGCAGAUGCGGCGGAUGCCCUCCCUUCUCCUGGAAAAGCGAUCUUUUUUGUGUGUUGUUGUUUAUCGCGUCGUCCUUGGCCCUCCUUCCUUUGCCAUUUCUGGUGAGGGGCGCCUCUCAGUGAGCACCAUUGUGUGCAGGACGUGCAAGGGCUGUCGCCACCGUGGGAAGUCGCUGUACCUCGUGGGGCACACCAUCACACCGAGGUGCGCAAAUGAGAUGGGAUCGCUGUAAGGAGUGCGCUGUAUAUGCAUAUAAAUGUAUACGUGCGUGUGUGCGCGCUACUCGCGCAGUCGUGCUUCCGCCUUGCACGGAACCCAUGUGCUCUAGAAGUGAAACAGUUUGUUCUCGCAGUCACAGCCCCUUCCCCCCCAUUUCGGAUUGUGAGGCACAGUCUGCACAGCCUCUAUACUGCAAGAUCUGCUGUGUGAGGCCUUGG